GAGGAGGCGGGCAGGCAAGAAACAGACGCACCAGGCGCAGUUGUGGGGGCGCCUGCUAUCGAGUGGCCACGGUGUGGCCAACACAUGCUUGAAGGCACCUCUGUAUUGUUUCCGAGCUGGGUGCUUCACACAACAGUAUUCGUCCUUGCACAACUCCUGAGGCCAGAAGCCCAAAAGCAAGAUGUCAGCUGGGCCACGCUCCUUCCAAAGACACUUCCUCGGCUCUUCCAGCCCCUGGUAGCUUCCAGAAUUCCUUGGCUUGUGGCAGCACGACUCCAACCUCCGCCUCCGUUGUCCCAUAGCCCUCUCCCUGUGGGUCUCAGUGCCCACAUUUCCCCAUAAAGACACCAGUCAGGGACCUGCCCUAAUCCAGUCUGACCCCAUCUUAACUGCUCACAUGUGCCAAGAUUUCAUUCCCUUCAUUCAUGUUCCCUUCUGGCUGAACAUGAAUUUUGGGGGUACACUAGUCAACCCAGUACAGUCCCUUCGCCAUCCUCUGUCAGAGUGUAUCUGGUGCUGUUUCCCUCAUUUUCCAGAUGGCACUGGAGGAGGGACCAGAGCCACCCUCAGGAGGAAGAAGGAAGCACAAUAGGACAUCCUUCUCUGGGCAGUGACGGGGCUGCUUAUCAGCUGGGGUCUGGACUUCAGCCUCCCAGCCUCUGCUCCUUUCUCCCGGCCCGCUCAGCCCCUCCCAGCAGCAGGCAGGAAGCAGCUUAGCCUCAUGCACUGCUGAGUCUGUUCUGUGCUGAGCUGGCGGGAAUAAUCCAGCAGCAGCAGCAGCAGCAGGAACUCGGGGGGAAAACCAGUGGCUGGAACAAGCUGGAAAGAAUUUUAUCUGGGGCCCACAGAGGUGAGGGCCGCAGAGGCCCACUUGCCUGGAAAGGGCCCUUAUCUCCUCUGAGAGGCGUGUGUGUGUGUGUGUGUGUGUGUGUGUGUGUGUGUGUGUGUGUGUGUGUGUGGUGUGGCGGCCAGAGGCUUGGCGGGGUGGGGCCUGGCCCUGUUGCCUGCCCUCAGGCCCUGCCCAAGCUUGGGAGUUGCUGAUUCAGAUCAUAGGACAGGCAGGGCCCUUAGGACAUCUCAGCCCAGGGGUAUCAAGUAAGUGUGGCUCUACCACCAGAUUCCCUUCCUCUGAAUUCUCCUUAACACAGUGCCCCACGCAGCUACCAUCAAUCAAUUGCAGCUGAGACACCAGUUAAACCAGUGAUGGCGAACCUUUUGAGCUCAGCAUGUCAGCAUUUUGAAAAACCCUAGCUUAACUCUGGUGCCGUGUCACAUAUAGAAAUUUUUUGAUCUUUGCAACCAUAGUAAAACAAAUAUGUAUAUUUUUGAUAUUUAUUUUAUAUAUUUAAAUGCCAUUUAACAAAGAAAAAUCAACCAAAAAAAUGAGUUCGUGUGUCACCUCUGACACGUGUGUCAUAAGUUCGCCAUCACUGUCCUAGGCACUUUUCCAUGACUCUCAAACUUUUCACACAGGGUGACAACCAAGCCUUCCUGACUCUCCACUCCCCGUGAGUCAUCCCUGGCUGCUGCCAAGAGGCAGGUUUCACAGCUGCUGCGCUUGCAGCCCCAGCUGGCAUCAGGAGACAGCUGCUGUGGCGGGACCCACCCUGCCCCCAGGCCAGCUGGUCCCUGUGCUGGGAAAGCUCAGAAUGGUUUUGAAGUACAGGGAUGGGAUGAGGUGAGCUCUGAGGGACCCUUCAGUCCUGGGAGUCAAGGGUCUGUGACAUCUUCCAGGAAGGCAAGGUGAUCUCAUGGCUUUGAGCACGGUUGUCAUUCAUUCACCAACGUGUCAGCCCCUGCAUGUCCUGGGCUCUGAUCCAGGUGCUGCCCAUGGAGCAGCAAACGAGACAGAUGCCAUCCCGGCUCGGUGAGGGAGGGGGAUGGGCGUGGAGUAAACGCCUCAUUAUAAACUGUGGGGGCUGCUAAGGAGAACACUCAUUACAAAGGAGCUAUCAGAGAGGGAAGAGAUGAGGGGUGAGGGAAGGGCUCUCCCAGGAGGUGACAUUUAAGCUGAGAUGUGGAGGAGGAAAUGGGUGUGUGCAUCGAGAAAGGGGCAGGGAAGAACAUUCCAGAGUGCAGGGUAGACAUGGGGUCUGGCGGGGAGACUUUACAAUUAGAGCCCUUGGGGCCUUAGAAAGGACCCCUAACCUCCCUAAGGCUCGUUGUCUUUAUUUGUGAAGUAGCAAUAACAUCUCACUGGGAAGAUACUCGUGAGGAUUUAAUGACAUUGCUCCCCCUGCUUAUUUGGGGUCUCACGGAGCAUCAGCGCCCAAGAAAUGGCAGCAAAGUACCUCAUGAUGCUCUGUGCAUAUAUGACGUGUUUCUGUUGGUCUCUUACAUUUUAUAAUCCA
Long non-coding RNA from Myotis daubentonii (Daubenton's bat), 2351 nucleotides. RefSeq lists it as uncharacterized. NCBI's taxonomy places the organism in Eukaryota, Metazoa, Chordata, Mammalia, Chiroptera, Vespertilionidae. The record is from RefSeq and is a predicted model, not a curated record.